Molecule: ribosomal RNA, 251 nt
Filed under: uncultured bacterium
Lineage: Bacteria
Description: partial 16S ribosomal RNA
Rfam family: Bacterial small subunit ribosomal RNA
Source: RNAcentral
GCAAGUCGAGGGGUAACAUGAAGGUGCUUGCACUUGACGACGACCGGCGCACGGGUGCGUAACGCGUAUACAAUCUACCUUUUGCUGAGGGAUAGCCCAGAGAAAUUUGGAUUAAGACCUCAUGGUAUCUAGAGGGAGCAUUUUUUUUAGAUUAAAGGUAACGGCAAAAGAUGAGUAUGCGUCCUAUUAGCUAGAUGGUGUGGUAACGGCACACCAUGGCGACGAUAGGUAGGGGCCCUGAGAGGGGGAUC